CAUCUCAUCUACUUUUUCUUACAAACUUUGUCUGCCCUUUUCUUGCAAGUUGUUCGUAAGAAUUAUUAGGGUUCUUAUUUACUUCAGUUUAUCAUCUCUUUGAUGAUUUUGGUUCUUAUCAGUCAAUCUGUGAUGACUGAUUCUCUUGUACUUUGAGAUUAUUGGUAAUAAAGCUGUUGGUUCUGGAGUUAAAGUUCAAUAUAUUUUGAGUUUUCUGAUAAACAUCAUAUUAAAAAAAAAAAAGAAACAUACCUGUUACAUGAUUGGAUUCACAGCAGGAAACAAACAGCACAAGCUCUCCAUCAAGGGUUCAACAUCGAUUUGAGGAUUUGGCUCCAUCUUCUCUCUUUCUCAUGUAUAUUGAACGGCUCCAUCUUUUCUCUCUUUCUCAGAACACCACCGAUUUGAAGAUUAAAUCUGUGAGAUAUGACGUCGAAUAAUUUCGUUCUUCCGAUUCAACAACCAUCAGUUUAUAGGGAAUCAAGUCUGCUAAGAUCGGUGGCUACGAAGAAGAGUUCCCGCUGUAGAUGGUGAUUGAGGUAGGUUCUGACAGACAAACUGAGAUCUAGGGUUUUACUUUAACUUUUGGAUUUUAUUUAACCACAAUUCGUGAACCAAAUGGGAUAAAUGCGGCUUAAGUAAUGGUAGAGGUUUCCCACCAGCGCACUCUUUUUAACUUUGAUGAUGGGGUAUCAACAUAUCGAUUGUGCCCAAGUGUAUGGCAACGAGAAGGAGACUGGGUUAGUUUUGAAGAGGCUCUUUCAAGAAAAAUGAUGUCAAAAAAAAAACGUGAAGAUUUGUUGAUUACCCCUCUAAGCUCUGGUUGCAGAGUAAACCAUCAGUUAACUACUCUGAGAAUCAUUGUCAAAACCGGGUAAAGAUGGUGAUGAAUUAAGUUUGUAAAUGACGCUUUGUUGAGUCACAAAAGCAACACAGAAAAGAGUCGGGGAUUGUGUGCUGCUUUCAGAAAGCAAGAAUACAGGAACAUCAUAAAGCCCCCACACAUAUGGAAGUGUUUCGGUCCAGGUGCACAUAUGCAUGGAACCGAUGAGGUUUGGUAUGACGAUGCGUCACAGGAAGCCAUUGAAAACCGGCCCAAUAGGCCUUCUGACCCGCCAAGAAUGUUUCAUUUGGGCGCUGUUGGGCGGGUCAACACUUUUCACCCACCCGGCGAUGACAAUAUUUACAGCUUAGAACUCCGGUAACUUUUAAGCAGGUAACACCUUUCCUAAGGAGGGCGUUUGAAUUUGUCAAACACUUUUGACAUCUGAUUAUUACAAUUUUAGACAAUAAAAUAACAUCUAAACACUAUUUUUUGAGUAAAAUUCCAAUUUUGUCCCUGAGGUUUGGCCAGUUUUGCGACUUUUUCCUCGAGCGGUUAUUACCGGUUACGGUUUCGGUUAAUAACCGGUUACGUCAAUCACUAUCGGCGUCGGUGCAACGUUUCUGACCCGCCAAGAAUGCUGCAUUUGGGCGGGUUAACACGCUUCACCCACCCGACGAUGAUAAUAUUUACAACUUGGAACUCCGAUAACUUUUAAGCUGGUAACAUCUUCCUAAGGAGUGCAGAUAUUGCUGGACCUGAAUCUGCACUAAAUAACCACAAAGUUAGUCUUUUCUUCACUGAGUCGCCAACAAGCCCGUUUCUAAGAUGCGUUGACAUCGAGUUAGUUUCGAAGCUAUACCAUGCUAAAGGAACGGUGGUUUGCAUUGAAGGAAUGUUUGCUACACCUCUGAACCAGAAGGCUCUUGCGCUUGUUGCUCACAUCAUUCUACACUCUGCAACCAAAUAUCUCGGUGGUCACAAUGAUGGAUCUUAGCCAAGCGAAGAGGGCCAAAUACGGGAUACUGGACAAUUUGGUUCGAUUCAGCUUUGGAGACGAAGACUAUGAGGAUCUGGAAGCUGAUGUUCUCAAGGCUUUGGAGGCGAUAUAAUAGACGUGAUUCACUUGCGUGUUUGUUUGUUCUUUUUAUUAUUUUUUUGUGUUGCUGAAUCAUGAUCAUGAUUGUUUGUAGUUGAGCACUUGCUGAGUGCUCCUACUACCAUUCUGUUUUUUGUUUUUGACGUUGUAAUAAGUUAUAUAGAGCAAUUUAAAAGCAAGAUUCUGCUCCAUC
Long non-coding RNA from Helianthus annuus (common sunflower), 2115 nucleotides. RefSeq lists it as uncharacterized. The record is from RefSeq and is a predicted model, not a curated record. NCBI's taxonomy places the organism in Eukaryota, Viridiplantae, Streptophyta, Magnoliopsida, Asterales, Asteraceae. The transcript is spliced from 12 exons.